Molecule: ribosomal RNA, 239 nt
Filed under: uncultured bacterium
Lineage: Bacteria
Description: partial 16S ribosomal RNA
Rfam family: Bacterial small subunit ribosomal RNA
Source: RNAcentral
GCGUUGUUCGGAAUUACUGGGCGUAAAGGGCUCGUAGGCGGCCAACUAAGUCGGAUGUGAAAUCCCCAAGCUUAACUUGGGAACUGCAUCCGAUACUGGAUGGCUUGAAUCCGGGAGAGGGAUGCAGAAUUCCAGGUGUAGCGGUGAAAUGCGUAGAUAUCUGGAGGAAUACCGGUGGCGAAGGCGGCAUCCUGGACCGGCAUUGACGCUGAGGAGCGAAAGCUAGGGGAGCAAACGGG